GGGGCCAUGGCUCAGCAGAAGAGCUUCUGCUUGACAUUCAGAAGGUCCAGGUUCAAUCCCUGGCAUCUCCG
This 71-nucleotide transfer RNA is filed under the name Sphaerodactylus townsendi. RNAcentral's name for it is "tRNA-Val". It matches the Rfam family "tRNA". From Rfam's summary of the family: Transfer RNA (tRNA) molecules are approximately 80 nucleotides in length. Their secondary structure includes four short double-helical elements and three loops (D, anti-codon, and T loops). Lineage: Eukaryota; Metazoa; Chordata; Lepidosauria; Squamata; Sphaerodactylidae. The record is from RNAcentral.